Long non-coding RNA from Oncorhynchus kisutch (coho salmon), 1813 nucleotides. RefSeq lists it as uncharacterized. The record is from RefSeq and is a predicted model, not a curated record. The transcript has 3 exons. NCBI's taxonomy places the organism in Eukaryota, Metazoa, Chordata, Actinopteri, Salmoniformes, Salmonidae.
ACCUAAAACGUCUUACCUAGGAACAUUGAAGACUCGUGUUAAAAGGAACCACCAGCUUUUCGCGAUUACUUCAAAACUACGGCAAGCAGCUGAGACAUAUGGUAAUAUAAUGGAACUGGGCUCCAUGGCGGAUGCAAUGAACUACUUAUUAGAAAAAAAACGUAGUUAAUGUCAUAUGUCCAGCCUACGGAGGUGACAAACACUGCAGCUACGUAACAAGCCCUCUACAGCAACAAAGGAGAUUUCAUCAGGUGACCUCUACAUUUGCACUGGAGGAGAUCUUCCUUUGGCAAAUAAAUUAUUAAGGAGCAGAGGAAGCACAGGGAAAUCUGUCAUGUCUCUGCUAUUGUGAAUUCAAACUCCCUCAGGACAAACACUCAUGUUUUCUUGCCCUCUCCCAUGUUGAGAAUCUUAGGUUCUCCCUGGUCCAAUUAAGGAUUGUGUUACCCUUGAAAAUACUUUCAAAUCUCCAUCCGAUUUUGUAAAGUGGUAAAGACCAUGGACUUUUUGAAGAGGAAACAGAAUGUUUUCCCCACCCAUCAACAGAGGAAUUCUCAUUUGGGAGAAAGGUUAUAUCAGUUGUAGUGUUCAACUUUUGAGCUCUUGGCUUGGGUACCUUCUGUCCCACACGCGGCAAAAAUACUACAGAGCAGUCCUCGUUUAAGCAGAGGUCCCUCCUUGAAACCUCCUUACCCCUUCCAAGUGCUCUGGAGAGCAUUUUACAGUUACCUGGGUUACAUUAGCCCUUCCAAAAUGUGAAAAAACAAUGACAGUCAUGGUUGAGCUGAAGACAUGGAACCAAAGGGAAACUGUACAGUGUAUAAGAAGGAAGACAAUAAAGGUCCGAGUUGAUGAUGGAAAGUCAACAUCACACCCUAAUGUUUCCCUCAGGUUUUUCUGUGCAAUAAUUACAGAGAUGAUAUACAAUGCUUCAAAUCCAUGUACAGCAUGGUUCACAUCCUGGAUAUGAACAUGUUAUGAAUAAGUGUAGCUUAUGGGUUUUAAGUGGUAUCUACCCUUUUUCAUUGGAAGAAAACACACAAGCAAAUCAGCAUGGCAAUUAAGUUUUACAAACUUAUACCAAUGUGUUUUGAAUCAUUUAUCGCCCUUGUUGUUCAUCUCUGUUGUACAUUCCUUUAGGAACAUACAAAAGGUUUCCUAUGUGCUCUAUGGGAUGAGUUAUGAGAAAUUCACCUAAUCCUUAUUAUCAUCAAUUUAAGGACACAUUACCAGACAUCAUGUAUAAUCCCAUUUCCUUAUGGUUAUGCAACUGGAUGCCAAGAUUUGUUGAAACAUGUCGAUGUUUGUUUAUUAGAAACUGAUUUUAUGUGAAAAGAUCUUUGUUUGGCCACAACCAGAAGUUUCACAAACUAGACACACGCACGUGCACACACACACCUGGGAACUCAUUGAUCAUGGCACGUGAAGAUAACCCUCUCUGGAUUGGGUCAAUGUCAACCCUCAAUGUGCCAGAGUGGACAGAGCAUGUCAAGACUCUAUGGAUCUGGAGGGAGAGAUAAAGAGCAGGAUGCAAGUCAUGUGAUGUGACUGACAGCCGUAUCGCAUCGACACAGACAUGGCUGUACAUGUUGCCGUCUCUCCACACAAAAGAACAACACAUCUUAGCCAUAACCACCCUAGUACCUUCUUCCAUUGGGCUAGUGGCAAAUCCUAAAACUGCACCAAAACACCUUGACACCGUGGGCAUUUAAGUUUGAAACUAAUAUGUUCUAUGUUGCUGUGUCUUGUAUGUACCAAUUUGUCACCACACAUGGAAGUUCCCUUCCAAUAAAUAAAAGUUAUUUGAAAACUG